UUUUUGAUACCUGAAAAUGACCUGAAUAUUCUACAGGAUCUGCAGGAGGGAAGAAGGAAUUGAGAAAGAAUUUAACACAAAGUGGAGGAAAAAUGUUCCCUCUGUUUUCACUCUGCCACGUCCAGUCAUUCAGAAUCGAAACAAGACAGUUACGUACAGGUGUGCUCACCUGUCCAUCCAUGCGGGGCUCAAUGCUCUGUGGGCACCACCUUGAAAUUCUUAACAAUUUUUAACAGAGGGGCCCGACUCUUCAUUUUGCAUUUAGCCCCGCAAAUCAUAUAGGCAGUCUUGUUUAUAUAUACAGGAGGGACUUAGCCGUGUUCUACGUAACUCCAAGGGGUACAGCAGGUCUGAUCAGUGGAAGGUAGAAAGAAACAGCUUUUAGCCCAAUAUUAAGAAAUGUUUUCAAAACUCAUGGCUGCCCAAAUUGGAAUUGGCUAUGUAAAUAGGUAGAGCUUCGGAACGCCAGAAUCCUUACAGCAGAGGAGGGUCAGCUACUUGGCAGGACUAUUAGAGACACAAUUCAAGCUUUGGACUCUGUGGCCUCCCAAGUCCCUUCCAACCUUGGGAUUAUCUAAUUCUUUGAUUAUUGAACCUCCUCGGAGAUGUCUACUUUACCAACUUCACCAGGAAAUGAACUCACUAGUGCUGAGACAGAUCAGUGCAAGUGUGGUCAAGGGACUCGGGUUUGACGUUCACUGCUAAGCCUGGUUUUCCUGAGUUUCAGGUUGACCACUGAGAAAAUUACUGGUUCUAGGAGUUACUGAUUAACUUCCAAAGAGACAUGUAAGUAAGUUAUGUGUUUCUAUGAGGAGUUUCUUUGAUCCUUAAAGUACGGCAAGUAGAAUUAUUUUUGCACAAUGCUCUAUAGAGAAAAUUAGUUAUUGGCUUAUUCAUUUUUUCACCCAUUUGCUCACUCCUGCCAGGUUCUGUAACAACUAGGUUACAGAAGAGAACGGAGCGGACAGGGUUUGUGCUCUUAAGCCCCUGGGAAUACCUGUUCAUUCUAUUCCAUUUGGCAGAAAAGUUUGAAAAUCACUGUCACCUGACAUGUGAAUUCCUUCUAAAACAAGCCUGCUGGCUUCCAGUUAUUCCUUAAAGGAAAUGAAUGGCUGUGGGAGAGAAAUUCAGAGGCAAUACCCCAUCCUUGUCUGGAAUAAUUAAAGUGGAAGAAAAUUCCUGUUGGUGAAAAGCCUGAUGAUUCUAUAAUUUUUGGAGAACUGUAUUAUCUUUCUUUCAAUAUUAAAGAAACUAACUGGAUUAAUUGUUAAAAGAAUAUGGGUAGCAGAUGUCCUGUGAUAUCUGCAAUGAAUAUGUACUUUGUUAAGAUAUUUUUAUAAUUUUUAAAAUAAUAUAUGUACUAUAUAGAAAGUAUUGAAAAUGCAAAAAGUAUAAAUAAAGUAUAUGUCCCAGUACUCAGAGACAACUGCUUUUAACACAUAUUCACAUCCUUUAUCUGAUUCUCGGAACCAACUGUGUUUUGGAAUUCAGAAUUUCUCAGAUUUUAGUAAGGAAAUUCAAUGUGUGUACCAAAGAUUUGAUUUGAUUUGAUAUUGAGACAUGAUUGACAUAUAACAGUACAUUAGUUUCAGGUGUACAACAUAAUGAUUUGAUAUAUGUAUAUAUUGCA
Molecule: long non-coding RNA, 1630 nt
Organism: Orcinus orca (killer whale)
Lineage: Eukaryota; Metazoa; Chordata; Mammalia; Artiodactyla; Delphinidae
Exons: 3
Source: RefSeq, a predicted model, not a curated record